GCCGGCGACGGUCAAUCUGGUCGACCGCUAGGUUGAGAGCCUAGUGUCUAAUAAGACAUCCGGGUUCAAAUCCCGGCGCCGGCG
This 84-nucleotide transfer RNA is filed under the name Candidatus Woesearchaeota archaeon. Its description in RNAcentral is "tRNA-Leu". It matches the Rfam family "tRNA". Rfam says of the family: Transfer RNA (tRNA) molecules are approximately 80 nucleotides in length. The record is from RNAcentral. Lineage: Archaea; Nanobdellati; Candidatus Woesearchaeota.